UACGGAGGGUGCAAGCGUUACCCGGAUUCACUGGGUUUAAAGGGUGCGUAGGCGGCUAGGUAAGUCAGUGGUGAAAUCCUAGAGCUUAACUCUAGAACUGCCGUUGAUACUAUCUAUCUUGAAUAUUGUGGAGGUAAGCGGAAUAUGUCAUGCAGCGGUGAAAUGCUUAGACAUGACAUAGAACGCCUAUUGCGAAGGCAGCUUACUACGCAUAUAUUGACGCUGAGGCACGAAAGCGUGGGGAUCAAACAGG
Molecule: ribosomal RNA, 253 nt
Filed under: uncultured bacterium
Lineage: Bacteria
Description: partial 16S ribosomal RNA
Rfam family: Bacterial small subunit ribosomal RNA
Source: RNAcentral